UCCCUCUUCUCUUAAAACCCUUGUGCCAGCGUAGAGCAAAGCAAGAUGCUACAAUGAAUGAAGAAUCGCAGUUUACAUCGAAGAAAAAGAAAAUGAAAAGCUGCUCGACGAGCGGUUAAGCAUCAUCAGAGAAACUAGAUAUUAAAAAAUGGAUUUCCAAAAUAAAAUAAAAUAAUGUCCAGGCCAUUUCCUUUCGAGGCAUACUCUUCUUAGUUUGAACCCUUUUCAAAAGGUAUUAAGGGGCAGGAGCAGCCAGAGGCGGGGAUCAAUUU
RNAcentral lists this unclassified non-coding RNA (272 nucleotides) under Hevea brasiliensis (rubber tree). Lineage: Eukaryota; Viridiplantae; Streptophyta; Magnoliopsida; Malpighiales; Euphorbiaceae. The record is from RNAcentral.